GCAGAGACACUGAGGUGGGGUGGAUCCAUGGAGGAGGCAGAGACACUGAGGUGGGAUGGAUCCAUGGAGGAGGCAGAGACACUGAGGUGGGGUGGAUCCAUGGAGGAGGCAGAGACACCGAGGUGGGGUGAAUCCAUGGAGGAGGCAGAGACACUGAGGUGGAUCCAUGGAGGAGGCAGAGACACCGAGGUGGGGUGGAUCCAUGGAGGAGGCGUGCAGAGACACUGAGGUGGGUGGAUCCAUGGAGGAGGCAGAGACACUGAGGUGGGAUGGAUCCAUGGAGGAGGCAGAGACACUGAGGUGGGGUGGAUCCAUGGAGGAGGCAGAGACACCGAGGUGGGGUGGAUCCAUGGAGGAGGCAGAGACACUGAGGUGGAUCCAUGGAGGAGGCAGAGACACCGAGGUGGGGUGGAUCCAUGGAGGAGGCGUGCAGAGACACUGAGGUGGGUGGAUCCAUGGAGGAGGCGUGCAGAGACACUGAGGUGGGUGGAUCCAUGGAGGAGGCGUGCAGAGACACUGAGGUGGGGUGGAUCCAUGGAGGAGGCAGAGACACCGAGGUGGGGUGGAUCCAUGGAGGAGGCAGAGACACUGAGGUGGAUCCAUGGAGGAGGCAGAGACACCGAGGUGGGGUGGAUCCAUGGAGGAGGCGUGCAGAGACACUGAGGUGGGUGGAUCCAUGGAGGAGGCGUGCAGAGACACUGAGGUGGGGUGGAUCCAUGGAGGAGGUGUGCAGAGACACCGAAGUGGGGUGGAUCCAUGGAGGAGGCGUGCAGAGACACUGAGGUGGGUGGAUCCAUGGAGGAGGCAGAGACACCGAGGUGGGUGGAUCCACGGUUGGAUACGACAAGCAGGAUGAUAUUUACUCCCGUUGCCUGGCCUGGGAGGAUAUCGCUUGUGAUGUGGAUGACGUGAUGUGGAUGAGGUGAUGUGGAUGGGGUGAUGUGGAUGAGAUGAUGUGGCUGGGAUGAUGUGGAUGAGGUGAUGUGGAUGAGAUGUUGUGGAUGAUGUGAUGUGGAUGAGGUGAUGUGGAUGAGGUGAUGUGGAUGAGAUGAUGUGGCUGGGAUGAUGUGGAUGAGGUGAUGUGGAUGAGAUGUUGUGGAUGAUGUGAUGUGGAUGAGGUGAUGUGGAUGAGGUGAUGUGGA
Molecule: long non-coding RNA, 1142 nt
Organism: Esox lucius (northern pike)
Lineage: Eukaryota; Metazoa; Chordata; Actinopteri; Esociformes; Esocidae
Source: Ensembl